Leptonychotes weddellii (Weddell seal) is the source of this 1657-nucleotide non-coding RNA. The record is from RefSeq and is a predicted model, not a curated record. Lineage: Eukaryota; Metazoa; Chordata; Mammalia; Carnivora; Phocidae.
UUGUAUAUUGCAUGAUAUUUUAUCAGGGGAAAAAAAAUAAAACAGAUCCAAUUUCAUGAAAAUGCUGUUGCCAUAAUGCUCAGGAGACCAGGGGGAAGAGAGAGAUGCAAGUCUUCCUAAUGUCUACCUUAUAUGCAGAAGGCGUGGUGAGUUGUCAUUUAUCUUCUACUCCCAGCUUGUGUUCUUGAUCCUACUGUAACCCUUACAAGAGAUGACAGCAAGAUCAGCAUUCUGUGGAGCUGAAAACUGGACCGUAGUUUGGUUGGAACAACAAUGAAAGACAGCAAGACGUGGUAAGCCGCACCAAAUGUGUCGUGACCAGCCAUGGGCUGAGCCAUGCCCUAAACGGAAGCUCUGGGCCCCAAAUGCAAGGGCCUCCUCAGGGAAAACUUCUGCUGUGCUCAGUUUACGGUUAGAGAAAGAAACUGAGAAUAUUUUCCCACACAGAACCCAGCCAGAGCCAGCCUGACGGGCUCUCCCUUCCACUCGUGAGUCCCACCAUCCACCUGCAGCAGGUGUGAGGGCUCCUCCGUGUGGACUCGACACUACUGACCAGGACAGAUGCUGUGCUGUGGGCCGGAGCUACGGAGCUUGGCCCGCUUCGGACUCGAAUGCGGCCCCUGCAUGUUUGGUGUACAUCAGUACGCACAGCCGGCCCUCACAAGAGAAACACCAUGAACCAGCUAACCCACUCUACCACCUUCCUGUCCUAACGGUGACCUCUAGGGUUUGCACAGCAAGCAAAGCAAGUCUCCUGGUCCUCUGCAAGCCAGGCGCCAUGCAUUUAGUUAGCAAGCAGCUUGCGACUUAGGUAUUCUUUAGCUGGAGAGAUUGAGGUCCUUGCAGGGACUUAAGAGAGCGUGGCCUUCUGGAAGCCAUGUUUCAUCAUCAUGGCACAAAUCAGCAAAGUGACUCAAAUGGAAGGACUUCAGGGCCAAGGAGAGGAUCCUAACACUGGAAUCAAGCAGGGGAGAGACAGUUUUGGGCCAAUCUGAUUUUGUUCUUUGACUCCUCAGAUAUUAGCAAAGGGUGUGGUGCAGAAUUGAGGAGGAAGUAGAAAUGGAUCAUAGUUCCCUUGUACUUACUGAGCACCCACUGUGUGCCAGAUGCUCUGCUCUAUGUUGAGGUAUACUUCACUGUAAUAACCUGCUAUAGUAUGUAAUGUUAUUAUCACCACUUUACAGAUAAGGAAACUGAGGCACAGAGAGGCUGAGUAACUCGCCCAAAGCUAGUAGCUGGUGAGGCUGGGAUUUGAAUCCAAGAAGGCUGAUUUCAAAGCUCCUUUUCUGUGGUGGGCACUGUGUGUGGCCAUCCAUUAUCCAUUGUUUCUUAGUAACAGAACACCCAUUGCUUCUUAGAGUGAAAGAUAUUUCUCAGCUUCCUUACAGCUCGAUGCCUCUAUAUGAAUAAGUUUUGCCCUCUGCAGUAUAAGUGGCAGAGUUUUGCAGGAACACUAGAAAGUUUCUUUAACAAGGAGGGACUUAUCUUUCCUUCUCCAUAUUCCUUUUUGGAACAUGGAUGUGAUUGCUGGAGCUCCAGAAGCCAUUUUGGACCAAGAGGUAGCCUUGGGAAAGCCAGGUUGGAGAGUUGGAAAGAGUCCAGCUCACUGAUGACAUCACAGAUCUGCCUUUCAAGCUUUGAUUAGUGUACCUCCUAG